UAAACUAGGAUUAGAUACCCUAUUAUUAAAAAUGUAAUGAAAAUAACUUGAUCACUAUUAGAAAUGAUCUUUAAAUUCAAAGAAUUUGGCGGUAAUUUAUCUUAUCAGAGGAACCUGUUCUAUAAUUGAUAAUCCACGAUAGAAAAAACUUUAAUUCAAUUUGUAUAUCUCUGUCAAGAAUGUUUUAUAAGAAAUAUUUUCAAAUAUUUUAUAUAUUAUAUGUCAGGUCAAGGUGCAGUUUAUAAAAAAGAAAGAAUGGGUUACAAUUAAAUUUAUAAUAAAUUAUUUUUUGAUUGAAAAAUAUGAAAUUGGAUUUGACAAUAAAUCAAUUAAAUUAAAUUGGUUGAAAUUAGCUCUAAAUUAUGUACAUAUCGCCCG
Molecule: ribosomal RNA, 378 nt
Filed under: Diemeniana tillyardi
Lineage: Eukaryota; Metazoa; Arthropoda; Insecta; Hemiptera; Cicadidae
Description: partial 12S ribosomal RNA
Source: RNAcentral